RNAcentral lists this ribosomal RNA (232 nucleotides) under uncultured bacterium. RNAcentral's name for it is "partial 16S ribosomal RNA". It matches the Rfam family "Bacterial small subunit ribosomal RNA", at positions 524 to 753 of the family's 1533-position model. The record is from RNAcentral.
UACGUAGGGCGCAAGCGUUGUCCGGAAUUAUUGGGCGUAAAGAGCUCGUAGGCGGUUUGUCGCGUCUGCUGUGAAAACUCGAGGCUCAACCUCGGGCUUGCAGUGGGUACGGGCAGACUAGAGUGCGGUAGGGGGUGACUGGAAUUCCUGGUGUAGCGGUGGAAUGCGCAGAUAUCAGGAGGAACACCGAUGGCGAAGGCAGGUCACUGGGCCGCAACUGACGCUGGAGGAG